Molecule: unclassified non-coding RNA, 239 nt
Filed under: Hevea brasiliensis (rubber tree)
Lineage: Eukaryota; Viridiplantae; Streptophyta; Magnoliopsida; Malpighiales; Euphorbiaceae
Source: RNAcentral
CUCUUCCACUCCUUGGGUCUUUCCCGAUUAGGUUCUUCCCAUGGCGUAAUCGAUGAUGGCCUCCUUGGCUCAACGGGUUCUGGCCUUGGUGGCCUCAUCGUCCUAGCCGAGCAGCUCAAUAUCAACCGCGUUUUCUCUUACAAGUACUGUUGUGGAGGAGGCGAUGAUAGCAAUAAGGGAGGAUCGGAUUGUGUGGUGUGCUUGUGCACGCUAAGAGAUGGGGACCAGGUCAGGAAGCU